RNAcentral lists this ribosomal RNA (467 nucleotides) under uncultured bacterium. RNAcentral's name for it is "partial 16S ribosomal RNA". It matches the Rfam family "Bacterial small subunit ribosomal RNA", at positions 28 to 507 of the family's 1533-position model. The record is from RNAcentral.
GACGAACGCUGGCGGCGUGCUUAACACAUGCAAGUCGAACGGAAAGGCCCGGCUUUUGUGGGGUGCUCGAGUGCGAACGGGUGAGUAACACGUUAGUAACCUGCCCUUGACUUUGGGAUAACUUCAGGAAACUGGGGCGAAUACCGGAUAGGAGCUCCUGCUGCAUGGUGGGGGUUGGGAAGUUUCGGCUGUUGGGGAUGGACUCGCGGCUUAUCAGCUUGUUGGUGGGGUAGUGGCUUACCAAGGCUUUGACGGGUAGCCGGCCUGAGAGGGUGACAGGCCACGUUGGGACUGGGAUACGGCACAGACUCGUACGGGAGGCAGCAGUGGGGAAUAUUGCACAAUGGGCGGAAGCCUGAUGCAGCAAAGCCGCGUGCGGGAUGACGGCAUUCGGGUUGUAAACCGCUUUCGCCUGUGACGAAGCGUGAGUGACGGUAAUGGGUAAAGAAGCACCGGCUAACUACGUG